GAUGAACGCUGGCGGCGUGCCUAAUACAUGCAAGUCGGGCGAAUGGGUUGAGAGCUUGCUCUUAUGAAGUUAGCGGCGGACGGGUGAGUAACACGUGGGUAACCUGCCCAUAAGACUGGGAUAACUCCGGGAAACCGGGGCUAAUACCGGAUAACAUUUUGAACCGCCUGGUUCGAAAUUGAAAGGCGGCUUCGGCUGUCACUUAUGGAUGGACCCGCGUCGCAUUAGCUAGUUGGUGAGGUAACGGCUCACCAAGGCAACGAUGCGUAGCCGACCUGAGAGGGUGAUCGGCCACACUGGGACUGAGACACGGCCCAGACUCCUACGGGAGGCAGCAGUAGGGAAUCUUCCGCAAUGGACGAAAGUCUGACGGAGCAACGCCGCGUGAGUGAUGAAGGCUUUCGGGUCGUAAAACUCUGUUGUUAGGGAAGAACAAGUGCUAGUUGAAUAAGCUGGCACCUUGACGGUACCUAACCAGAAAGCCACGGCUUACUACGUGCCAGCCGCCGCGGUAA
Molecule: ribosomal RNA, 515 nt
Filed under: uncultured bacterium
Lineage: Bacteria
Description: partial 16S ribosomal RNA
Rfam family: Bacterial small subunit ribosomal RNA
Source: RNAcentral